Non-coding RNA from Paramuricea clavata, 506 nucleotides. Lineage: Eukaryota; Metazoa; Cnidaria; Anthozoa; Malacalcyonacea; Plexauridae. The record is from the annotation of a GenBank genome assembly.
GCUCCUUCGUAUUGUUAUGUCACUGUCUCCUCUUUUAAGUUAUACUUGCGCAAGACUUACAUCCACCUCACUAGUACUUCCUACACUCCUGACUUACCUAGUCACACUCACUUUUCACGACUCAAUAAAAAUAUCUAACAUUUCUCUCUUUGUCUUUUCAUUCUUUCUGCCUUUUCAUUCUCUUAGUCUUUUCAUUUAAUCUUCCUUGUCUUUGUUUCCUGUCCUUGUUUGUUGUCUAGUGGUGAGCAAAUUUUGGCACUUUCCUCGUCUUCUUGUACAAUGUAAUUGUCCGUUAAAGUUAUGUAUAAAUAUCCAGUUCUUUAUGUGUCAAAUUAAAGUUGUUAAAUUAAAUUAAAUAUUAAAAACAAACUUACCUUCAUUAACGUCGACGACUUUGCUCCAUUCUUUUAGACGUUUUUAGACAAUUUUUGGCUCUCAAAAAGGUUUUGAAAUUUGCAAAAUCUUGCAAAAAUACAAUAAAUUUGCUGAUUUGCAAGAAAUGUUUG